Molecule: small RNA, 166 nt
Filed under: Streptomyces sp.
Lineage: Bacteria; Bacillati; Actinomycetota; Actinomycetes; Kitasatosporales; Streptomycetaceae
Description: c-di-AMP sequence
Rfam family: c-di-AMP riboswitch aptamer (ydaO/yuaA leader)
About the family: This family represents a conserved RNA structure found upstream of the ydaO and yuaA genes in Bacillus subtilis and related genes in other bacteria. The ydaO/yuaA element is thought to act as a genetic "off" switch for the ydaO and yuaA genes in its native state.
Source: RNAcentral
CGGACACCUCUGCCGAAUCCGGCCUGCCGCCUGGCAGUUCGGAACCGGGGACCCACACGCAGAACCGGGGUGAAUCGGUCCGCGCCCGCGCGCCCGGACCGUAGGACAGCCUUCCGUUCCGUCCGAACCCGACAGCUAACCCGGUAGGCGGUCCACGGAAGGAGAU